Molecule: ribosomal RNA, 468 nt
Filed under: uncultured bacterium
Lineage: Bacteria
Description: partial 16S ribosomal RNA
Rfam family: Bacterial small subunit ribosomal RNA
Source: RNAcentral
GACGAACGCUGGCGGCGUGCUUAACACAUGCAAGUCGAACGGAAAGGCCCUGCUUUUGUGGGGUGCUCGAGUGGCGAACGGGUGAGUAACACGUGAGUAACCUGCCCUUGACUUUGGGAUAACUUCAGGAAACUGGGGCUAAUACCGGAUAGGAGCUCCUGCUGCAUGGGGGGGGUUGGAAAGUUUCGGCGGUUGGGGAUGGACUCGCGGCUUAUCAGCUUGUUGGUGGGGUAGUGGCUUACCAAGGCUUUGACGGGUAGCCGGCCUGAGAGGGUGACCGGCCACAUUGGGCCUGCGAUACGGCCCAGACUCCUACGGGCGGCAGCAGUGGGGAAUAUUGCACAGUGGGCGGAAGCCUGAUGCAGCAACGCCGCGUGCGGGAUGACGGCCUUCGGGUUGUAAACCGCUUUCGCCUGUGACGAAGAGUGAGUGACGGUAAUGGGUAAAGAAGCACCGGCUAACUACGUG